RNAcentral lists this ribosomal RNA (448 nucleotides) under Erythrobacter sp. AS-5. RNAcentral's name for it is "bacterial SSU rRNA". It matches the Rfam family "Bacterial small subunit ribosomal RNA", at positions 1 to 501 of the family's 1533-position model. Lineage: Bacteria; Pseudomonadati; Pseudomonadota; Alphaproteobacteria; Sphingomonadales; Erythrobacteraceae. The record is from RNAcentral.
UUUUNUGAUGUCCUGGNUCAGAACGAACGCUGGCGGCAUGCCUUAACACAUGCAAGUCGAACGAGACCUUCGGGUUAGUGGCGCACGGGUGCGUAAGCGCGUGGGAACCUGCCUUAGGUUCGGAAUAACAGUUAGAAAUGACUGCUAAUACCGGAUAAUGUCUUCGGACCAAAGAUUUAUCGCCUUUGGAUGGGCCCGCGUUGGAUUAGAUAGUUGGUGGGGUAAUGGCCUACCAAGUCGACGAUCCAUAGCUGGUCUGAGAGGAUGAUCAGCCACACUGGGACUGAGACACGGCCCAGACUCCUACGGGAGGCAGCAGUGGGGAAUAUUGGACAAUGGGCGAAAGCCUGAUCCAGCAAUGCCGCGUGAGUGAUGAAGGCCUUAGGGUUGUAAAGCUCUUUUACCAGGGAUGAUAAUGACAGUACCUGGAGAAUAAGCUCCGGCUAAC